GCAGAAAAAUUAGAUGAUGCGCUUGCCAUUUGAAGCUACGGGCACCACGGCCCUCCAAACUCAGAAAACGAACUCUAAGAAGGCCUAAAGUUUGAGCAGUUUGAGAAAGACUGCCCCUAUCGACUUCCAGUAGCAAGAGUUUCUCUACGGUACAAUCUAAUCAGCUCGUGGAUAUACACAUAUUCGGACUUUGUCCAAUACCCACAACUAGCAGUUUGACUCGUAUGAAUCAUGCAAUAUCUUGGCAAUAUCUUAUGGGUAUAUUUUCAACAUUGAUAUAAGCUAUAAACGCCUUACAAGCUUUAGAAGACAAAAAACGGCUUUCAAUGAAUCUCAUCACUAGCUGACUCGAGUCUGCAAUUAAUAAAAGCGUGCCAAUCACGUGAUCUAUGGUUCCAUACCUCAGGGGUAGCUGAACUUUGGAUAAACGGAAAUUUGAUGGUUGAAUGUGUGUCAGACGACGAUUGGUACUUUGAACCCUCGAUCAGACACAUCCACACAUAUACACAUAGGAGAAGGGCGGUAGACAAUUGACUACAUAUUUCAAUUGGAAUUUGUUUAUAGGCAAAUCAAUUGAUUCACAUGAGAACCUUUGACGUCUCCAAUUGCCAAACAAUUUGCUGGCCCAUGCUGUCAAUUAGACUUUGUGCCUUCAUGGCGCAACAGAACAGCCAAAUUGCAAAGCACUAGCCGAGGGAAAGCCUCACGCAACCUUUGCUGAUAGCAGAACAAAUUUGCUUAUCGGAGGAGGUACUCUGCU
Molecule: long non-coding RNA, 760 nt
Organism: Drosophila persimilis
Lineage: Eukaryota; Metazoa; Arthropoda; Insecta; Diptera; Drosophilidae
Exons: 4
Source: RefSeq, a predicted model, not a curated record